GAUGAACGCUGGCGGCGUGCCUAAUACAUGCAAGUCGAGCGAACAGACGAGUAGCUUGCUCCUCUGACGUUAGCGGCGGACGGGUGAGUAACACGUGGAUAACCUACCUAUAAGACUGGGAUAACUUCGGGAAACCGGAGCUAAUACCGGAUAAUAUAUUUAACCGCAUGGUUCAAUAGUGAAAGACGGUUUUGCUGUCACUUAUAGAUGGAUCCGCGCCGCAUUAGCUAGUUGGUAAGGUAACGGCUUACCAAGGCGACGAUGCGUAGCCGACCUGAGAGGGUGAUCGGCCACACUGGAACUGAGACACGGUCCAGACUCCUACGGGAGGCAGCAGUAGGGAAUCUUCCGCAAUGGGCGAAAGCCUGACGGAGCAACGCCGCGUGAGUGAUGAAGGUCUUCGGAUCGUAAAACUCUGUUAUUAGGGAAGAACAAAUGUGUAAGUAACGAUGCACGUCUUGACGGUACCUAAUCAGAAAGCCACGGCUAACUACGU
Molecule: ribosomal RNA, 496 nt
Filed under: uncultured bacterium
Lineage: Bacteria
Description: partial 16S ribosomal RNA
Rfam family: Bacterial small subunit ribosomal RNA
Source: RNAcentral